This 450-nucleotide ribosomal RNA is filed under the name uncultured Glomeromycotina. RNAcentral describes it as "SSU rRNA". It matches the Rfam family "Eukaryotic small subunit ribosomal RNA", at positions 569 to 1025 of the family's 1831-position model. The record is from RNAcentral. Lineage: Eukaryota; Fungi; Glomeromycota.
AGCAGCCGCGGUAAUUCCAGCUCCAAUGGCGUAUAUUAAAGUUGUUGCAGUUAAAAAGCUCGUAGUUGAAUUUCGGGAUCAGUACGUUGGUCAUGCCUUGGUAUGUACUGGUGUAACUGAUUCCUCCCUUCUGACGAACCGUCAUGCCAUUCACUUGGUGUGGCGGGAAAUCAGGACUGUUACUUUGAAAAAAUUAGAGUGUUUAAAGCAGGCUCGCGCUUGAAUACAUUAGCAUGGAAUAAUGAAAUAGGACGUUAAUCCUAUUUUGUUGGUUUCUAGGAUCGACGUAAUGAUUAAUAGGGAUAGUUGGGGGCAUUAGUAUUCAAUUGUCAGAGGUGAAAUUCUUGGAUUUAUUGAAGACUAACUACUGCGAAAGCAUUUGCCAAGGAUGUUUUCAUUAAUCAAGAACGAAAGUUAGGGGAUCGAAGACGAUCAGAUACCGUCGUAGUC